AACGAACGCUGGCGGCAGGCUUAACACAUGCAAGUCGAACGCUCGUAGCAAUACGGGAGUGGCGGACGGGUGAGUAACGCGUGGGAACGUGCCCUGAGGUACGGAAUAACUGAGGGAAACUUCAGCUAAUACCGUAUGAGCCCCGAGAGGGGAAAGAUUUAUCGCCUUGGGAGCGGCCCGCGUCGGAUUAGCUAGUUGGUGGGGUAACGGCCUACCAAGGCUUCGAUCCGUAGCCGGUCUGAGAGGACGAUCAGCCACACUGGGACUGAGACACGGCCCAGACUCCUACGGGAGGCAGCAGUGGGGAAUCUUGCGCAAUGGGGGCAACCCUGACGCAGCCAUGCCGCGUGAACGAUGAAGGCCUUAGGGUUGUAAAGUUCUUUUACCCGUGACGAUGAUGACGGUAACGGGGAAUAAGCUCCGGCUAACUUCGUGCCAGCAGCCGCGGU
Molecule: ribosomal RNA, 449 nt
Filed under: uncultured bacterium
Lineage: Bacteria
Description: bacterial SSU rRNA
Rfam family: Bacterial small subunit ribosomal RNA
Source: RNAcentral